GGGUGGUAAUGCCGGAUGCUCCAGUUGACCGCAUGGUCCUCUGGGAAAGCUUUUGCGGUAUGGGAUGGGGUCGCGUCCUAUCAGCUUGAUGGCGGGGUAACGGCCCACCAUGGCUUCGACGGGUAGCCGGCCUGAGAGGGCGACCGGCCACAUUGGGACUGAGAUACGGCCCAGACUCCUACGGGAGGCAGCAGUGGGGAAUAUUGCACAAUGGGCGCAAGCCUGAUGCAGCGACGCCGCGUGCGGGAUGACGGCCUUCGGGUUGUAAACCGCUUUUGACUGGGAGCAAGCCCUUCGGGGUGAGUGUACCUUUCGAAUAAGCACCGGCUAACUACGUGCCAGCAGCCGCGGUAAUACGUAGGGUGCAAGCGUUAUCCGGAAUUAUUGGGCGUAAAGGGCUCGUAGGCGGUUCGUCGCGUCCGGUGUGAAAGUCCAUCGCUUAACGGUGGAUCCGCGCCGGGUACGGGCGGGCUUGAGUGCGGUAGGGGAGACUGGAAUUCCCGGUGUAACGGUGGAAUGUGUAGAUAU
Molecule: ribosomal RNA, 528 nt
Filed under: Bifidobacterium adolescentis
Lineage: Bacteria; Bacillati; Actinomycetota; Actinomycetes; Bifidobacteriales; Bifidobacteriaceae
Description: partial 16S ribosomal RNA
Rfam family: Bacterial small subunit ribosomal RNA
Source: RNAcentral